UACGUAGGGUGCGAGCGUUGUCCGGAAUUACUGGGCGUAAAGAGCUCGUAGGCGGCCUGUUGCGUCCGCUGUGAAAGCCCGGGGCUUAACCCCGGGUCUGCAGUGGAUACGGGCAGGCUAGAGGUAGGUAGGGGAGAAUGGAAUUCCCGGUGUAGCGGUGAAAUGCGCAGAUAUCGGGAGGAACACCGGUGGCGAAGGCGGUUCUCUGGGCCUUACCUGACGCUGAGGAGCGAAAGCGUGGGGAGCGAACAGG
Molecule: ribosomal RNA, 253 nt
Filed under: uncultured bacterium
Lineage: Bacteria
Description: partial 16S ribosomal RNA
Rfam family: Bacterial small subunit ribosomal RNA
Source: RNAcentral